AGCGAACGCUGGCGGCAGGCCUAACACAUGCAAGUCGAACGGAUCCUUCGGGAUUAGUGGCGGACGGGUGAGUAACACGUGGGAACGUGCCCUUUGGUUCGGAACAACUCAGGGAAACUUGAGCUAAUACCGGAUGUGCCCUUCGGGGGAAAGAUUUAUCGCCAUUGGAGCGGCCCGCGUCUGAUUAGCUAGUUGGUGAGGUAACGGCCCACCAAGGCGACGAUCAGUAGCUGGUCUGAGAGGAUGAUCAGCCACACUGGGACUGAGACACGGCCCAGACUCCUACGGGAGGCAGCAGUGGGGAAUCUUGCGCAAUGGGCGAAGGCCUGACGCAGCCAUGCCGCGUGAAUGAUGAAGGCCUUAGGAUUGUAAAAUUCUUUCAGCGGGGACGAUAAUGACGGUACCCGCAGAAGAAGCUCCGGCUAACUUCGUG
Molecule: ribosomal RNA, 433 nt
Filed under: uncultured bacterium
Lineage: Bacteria
Description: partial 16S ribosomal RNA
Rfam family: Bacterial small subunit ribosomal RNA
Source: RNAcentral